UACGUAGGGAGCAAGCGUUGUUCGGAUUUACUGGGCGUAAAGGGCGCGUAGGCGGCGCGGUAAGUCACUUGUGAAAUCUCUGAGCCUAACUCAGAACGGCCAAGUGAUACUGCAGUGCUAGAGUGCAGAAGGGGCAAUCGGAAUUCUUGGUGUAGCGGUGAAAUGCGUAGAUAUCAAGAGGAACACCUGAGGUGAAGACGGGUUGCUGGGCUGACACUGGCGCUGAGUGCGCGAAAGCCAGGGGAGCAAACGGG
RNAcentral lists this ribosomal RNA (254 nucleotides) under uncultured bacterium. Its description in RNAcentral is "partial 16S ribosomal RNA". It matches the Rfam family "Bacterial small subunit ribosomal RNA", at positions 524 to 776 of the family's 1533-position model. The record is from RNAcentral.